GACGAACGCUGGCGGCGUGCUUAACACAUGCAAGUCGAACGGAAAGGCCCUGCUUUUGUGGGGUGCUCGAGUGGCGAACGGGUGAGUAACACGUGAGUAACCUGCCCUUGACUUUGGGAUAACUUCAGGAAACUGGGGCUAAUACCGGAUAGGAGCUCCUGCUGCAUGGUGGGGGUUGGAAAGUUUCGGCGGUUGGGGAUGGACUCGCGGCUUAUCAGCUUGUUGGUGGGGUAGUGGCUUACCAAGGCUUUGACGGGUAGCCGGCCUGAGAGGGUGACCGGCCACAUUGGGACUGAGAUACGGCCCAGACUCCUACGGGAGGAAGCAGUGGGGAAUAUUGCACAAUGGGCGGAAGCCUAAUGCAGCAACGCCGCGUGCGGGAUGACGGCCUUCGGGUUGUAAACCGCUUUCGCCUGUGACGAAGCGUGAGUGACGGUAAUGGGUAAAGAAGCACCGGCUAACUACGUG
Molecule: ribosomal RNA, 468 nt
Filed under: uncultured bacterium
Lineage: Bacteria
Description: partial 16S ribosomal RNA
Rfam family: Bacterial small subunit ribosomal RNA
Source: RNAcentral